RNAcentral lists this ribosomal RNA (862 nucleotides) under uncultured organism. RNAcentral describes it as "bacterial SSU rRNA". It matches the Rfam family "Archaeal small subunit ribosomal RNA", at positions 477 to 1338 of the family's 1478-position model. The record is from RNAcentral.
CAGCACCUCAAGUUGUCAGGAUGAUUAUUGGGCCUAAAGCAUCCGUAGCCGGCUUUGUUAGUUUUCGGUUAAAUCCAUGUGCUCAACGCAUGGGCUGCCGAAAAUACUGCAGGGCUAGGGAGUGGGAGAGGUAGACGGUACUCAGUAGGAAGGGGUAAAAUCCUUUGAUCUAUUGAUGACCACCUGUGGCGAAGGCGGUCUACCAGAACACGUUCGACGGUGAGGGAUGAAAGCUGGGGGAGCAAACCGGAUUAGAUACCCGGGUAGUCCCAGCUGUAAACGAUGCAGACUCGAUGAUGCAUUGGCAUAUAGCCAGUGCAGUGUCGCAGGGAAGCCGUUAAGUCUGCCGCCUGGGAAGUACGUACGCAAGUAUGAAACUUAAAGGAAUUGGCGGGGGAGCACCACAAGGGGUGAAGCCUGCGGUUCAAUUGGAGUCAACGCCAGAAAUCUUACCCGGAGAGACAGCAGAAUGAAGGUCAAGCUGAAGACUUUACCAGACAAGCUGAGAGGUGGUGCAUGGCCGUCGCCAGCUCGUGCCGUGAGAUGUCCUGUUAAGUCAGGUAACGAGCGAGAUCCCUGCCGCUAGUUGCUAUCAUUAUUCUCAGGAAUAAUGGGGCGAAUUAGUGGGACUGCCGUUGUUAAAACGGAGGAAGGAAGGGGCUACGGCAGGUCAGUAUGCCCCGAAACUCUGGGGCCACACGCGGGCUGCAAUGGUAGUGACAAUGAGUUCCAAACUCGAAAGAGAGUGGCAAUCUCUAAACGCUACCACAGUUAUGACUGAGGGCUGUAACUCGCCCUCACGAAUAUGGAAUCCCUAGUAACCGCGUGUCAUUACCGCGCGGUGAAUACGUCCCUGCUCCUU